Molecule: long non-coding RNA, 561 nt
Organism: Musca domestica (house fly)
Lineage: Eukaryota; Metazoa; Arthropoda; Insecta; Diptera; Muscidae
Exons: 2
Source: RefSeq, a predicted model, not a curated record
AUAGACUUCGGCCAUACUAUCGAAGCUGACAUCAUCGCCGAUGAAAUCACCGCUGUUAGACGAUUUCAUUUUACAAAUUAGACAAAAUCCCAUCAAAUUUACGGCCUACGAUUUCUAUGAGCUCAACAGUGAAACCCUGACCCAGGUUUCUGUUAUUGUUUUUGAUUUAAUGCUAUUUUUGCUACAAAUAUUUUCGCUUACCAAUAUUGCUUAAGAAAAAUGGUAGAUGGAAAUUAGCGUUGGAGUCCUGAGAAAACAAGGAGGUCGGAGAAGACAUGAUAGAAUUAGUGUUGCUGUACAAAACUAAAGAAAGUGGUAGCCGGAGCCCAGCCCACAAUUAGAAGAGAAGUCUUUUUAGAUCAGAUACUGCAAUUUAUCUACAAAUAUUUUUGGAGUUUUGCAGUUUCCCGAGAAAGAGAACAUUAUCGAAAGAGAAAAAAAUUAUGAUAAAUUAAUUUGUAUGAUAAUAUGGCUUCUUAAAUUUAAUCUCCUUCCGUUUUUUUAUUUUUUAUUAUGUUUUAAAUGUGUAAAAAAAUAAAAUUUGUAUUUUCUAAAAAUGUG